CUAAUAUUAGUUACUGUUGUGAGCGGAAGCUGCUAUUUCAUGUAUCGAGGGUUCUGUUUCAUAUUUGUUUUCUGUCCAUAUUUUAUGAACCAGUAAUGGCAAUAGUAGUAGUGUUAGAAGUAAUAAAAAAAUUGUUGUUAUUAUGUCAGUCAUUUUCUUGUUUGUCAUCCAUGCAUUUUGGUGUUGGAUACCUUUAAUAAAUUGGCACAAUAAUUCAUUUGUCAGGUUGAUGGUGAUUAUUAGUGAAAUCAAGGCUCUAUGCUUGUAAUAUCAAGAACAGAAUAAAACCUGCAGAAAUUUAUUUGGAGCUCUACACGGCCUCCUUGUAAUUGACAUCCAUCAAACAAUUUGCAUGUUUUUUUCUUUUUUAUCACCUAUGUUCGUCGCCAUCUUCUUAAUAGAUUUUUAUUACUGUGUAAAAGGAUUGAUGAUGCCUUCUGAGAUUGAAGAAGAUAAGAUCACUUUCUGCGAGGCGUCAAUAUCAAGAUAAGAGCAAUCUGUUUCUGUUUUAAGCUCAAUGAGGAAUCAAAAUGUUUGCCGACUUCUUGUUUUCUUUUAUGAGCAGCAGAUGGCGAUAAUACAGAGCAAGCAUCCUGUUGAUUUGAUUAAAGUAUAUUCAGAAAAGGAGCUUUUGAAGGAGUUUGAAAAAAUUGCUUCCACCAUUGUACCAGAAAAAGAUUGGUCUAUGUGAAGGCCUUAUUAUUGGAGGUU
This 711-nucleotide long non-coding RNA is filed under the name Olea europaea subsp. europaea. The record is from RNAcentral. Lineage: Eukaryota; Viridiplantae; Streptophyta; Magnoliopsida; Lamiales; Oleaceae.